GCCCGGGUGGCGCAACUGGUGGACGCGGAGGGCUUAAACCCCUCUGGCCCUUCGGGGCUGUGUGGGUUCGAAACCCACCCCGGGCA
RNAcentral lists this transfer RNA (86 nucleotides) under Actinomycetota bacterium. Its description in RNAcentral is "tRNA-Leu". It matches the Rfam family "tRNA". From Rfam's summary of the family: Transfer RNA (tRNA) molecules are approximately 80 nucleotides in length. Lineage: Bacteria; Bacillati; Actinomycetota. The record is from RNAcentral.